CAGUCGCCGCGGUAAUACGUAGGGUGCGAGCGUUAAUCGGAAUUACUGGGCGUAAAGCGUGCGCAGGCGGUUGUGUCAGACAGGUGUGAAAUCCCCGGGCUUAACCUGGGAACUGCGCUUGUGACUGCACAGCUAGAGUAUGGCAGAGGGGGGUGGAAUUCCACGUGUAGCAGUGAAAUGCGUAGAGAUGUGGAGGAACACCGAUGGCGAAGGCAGCCCCCUGGGCCAAUACUGACGCUCAUGCACGAAAGCGUGGGGAGCAAACAGGAUUAGAUACCCCCGUAGUCCCUGUCUCUUAUAC
Molecule: ribosomal RNA, 301 nt
Filed under: uncultured bacterium
Lineage: Bacteria
Description: partial 16S ribosomal RNA
Rfam family: Bacterial small subunit ribosomal RNA
Source: RNAcentral